AUUAUGAACUUAUGGGCUUCCCUGGUGGCUCAGUCUGUAAAGAAUCUGUUGCAAUGCAGGAGAUGCCGGUUUGAUCCCUCGGUUGUGAAGAUCCCCUGGAGAAGGUAGUGGCAAACCCACGUCAGUAUUCUCCCAUAGAUGGAGGAGCCUGGCGGGCUACAGUCCACGGGCUCACAAACAGCCACAACUUGGCGACUAGAGCACCGCCAGCAAGAACCUAUAGAUUAAAACAUAUUUGAUUGAUUUGAAUCCCUUGCCAUUGUUAUCAUAAUUAAAGCUCACAUGGGCCAGUGGGAGUCGCUUCAAACUGGUUUCUUUUUGACAUCCUGCUAGUCUUCAAGCACUUCCUGCUAGCUGCUGCAUCAAGGUAGUCCAGUCUUCUUUUGUCCUUUAAACCUUCCUGCUCUAGACUUGAAACCAGGCAUUUUUCCAAGAAGCCCUGACUUUAAAAAAGUUUCUUCUUUCUUUUUUAAAAAUAUUUAUUUCUUUGGCUGUGUUGGGUCUUAGUUGCGGCACUUGGGAUUUUCCUCAUGUCAGGCAGGGUCUUUGGUCAUGGUGGAUGAGUACUCUGCUGGCAGUGCUGGGCUCCAGCCCAUGUGGGCUUAGCUGCUCAACCAGGGAUCAAACCCACAUCCCCUGCGCUGCAAGAAGAAGUCUUAACUACUGGGCCAAUAAGGAAUUCCCCUUUUCCUCUUUCUUUUUUUUUAAAUAAAAUUUCCCGACUUCUUUUCAUAGGAAAUGUUAUUUCAAAACCACAGUUUGGGUUCUGGGGUGCUCAUUGCUGUAGAGUUGAUCAUUGUGUCUUGCUUUCUGGCGGCCAGAACUAGCAAAUGUAUAGAAUCCCUUGUGAGCUCCUCUGGUAUGAGCAAAGAAAGCUGGCGUGCGGGACCUGAGAGGCAAUCAAUUCAUCACUGGCACAACUAAGGUUUUCUGGCCCUUCCCUUUGCUUCAUUUCUGCAGCUCCAUUUCAUUCACAGUCAGCAGUUUCUCCCUGGGACAGGGAGCCUUGGAGGGGCUCUUUCAGGAGUUUAUAGCAGCUGGAUGGCUCAGCCCCUCCAAGCCCCUUGCUCUGAGACACACCCCAGUGUCACCUGCUCUUCCCAAACUGGCCACCAUGCUUUACCAGAAAUAUCUGUUGCUUAUUUUGGGGUGUUCCUGUUCUCAGGUCACCAGAUGCAGCCCCCCGCCCCUGCCCGCCUUGAUCUUGUUCUGCUUCUGCCCUCGCAGAUGCAAGUCUUGCAGCUCUCCCUGCGUUGUCUCCACCCUUGUAUUUUAAGCUUCAUGGAGACAGCUUAUCACCCAAUGUGUUGUUAACCUUGCCUCUGGUUUUGGGCCACAGGUCAUUCGCUCAGCUGGUGGCUGGGCUAGCCUGGAAGGUCCAGAGGACCCCCCUCGGCAUUUCCCCCACGUGGCCUCUCUUUCCCCACGUGGUGGCUCACAUUCAGUCACUUAAGCUUCUUUAAACCCACUCCAGUGUUCUUGCCUGGAGAAUCCCAGAGACAGGGGAGCCUGGUGGGCUGCCAUCUAUGGGGUCGCACAGAGUCGGACACGACUGAAGCUACUUAGCAGCAGCAGCAGCAGCAGCAAAGCAUCAUGGUGGCUUCCCAGAGAGAACAGAAGCAGAAGCUGCUAGGUCUCCUAAAAGCCACUCCCAUCCCAAUGGCUGGAUCAAAGCAAGUCACAAGACCCGCCCAGAUUUCUGGGGAGGGAGACAGGCCCCACCCCCGAUGGGAGGUGCCUGUAGGGAGGAAUGGGUGGGGCCAUCUUUGGAGAUUCCGAGUCAGGCUGGUCUGAACUGGAGCCCAAGCUGAUGCCUUAGGAGACUGGGACCAACUAAAGUCUGCACCAGCCGCUGAGCGGUGGAGUGGGGCAGCGGGGACGGGUGAGUGGCCUCCAGUCUCGGGAAGGAAUUCCAGUGUUUGACUCUGCGGAACUCCACCCAGUAUUUAGAGUUUCCACCUGGAGCUGCAGGGCACAGGGGGAUGGGUGGUGCCCUCCUUCGCCCUCAGGGUUGGAGCUGUGGAAAGAAAAGGGAUUAGCUUUUUCAUCUUUCCGCCCUGCCCCUGUCACUUGCAGGCCCUGGAGGGCUGGCAGGACAUAUGGCCCUGCCAGUGGUAAAUUGAGCCGGGAGUCCUGCCAGGGAGGGCCAGAUGGAGCAGGAAGAAGACACAGAUCAACCCUGCGGCGACGGCUCCCGGGUGGCAUUGCAGCUCUGCGGGCCCAUUCCCCUGGCCUUGGAGCAUCCACGCUGGGCCCCCUCCCUUGCCCAGGCCACCUGGCAGAAUAGCCUCUUGCGGUCUGCAGGGCCGAGACAGCUGAAGGGGAAGGCGGAUGAUUCAGAGACCUGUAAGGGCCUCUCCAACAGUCACGAGUCUGUUCCCACCUUGCUCCUCUCCCCGCGUGGGGCUGAGCCUCCUGGCUGAGUGUGGAAACAAGUCAGCCUGGAGCUCUGACAUUGUGAUGGACAGAAGGCAGGGCAUUUUCCCCUCUGAUGCCUCAGCGUUUUUUCUGUGGCUGGCUGGAAGUGCCCGCCAGCCUGAUGCCACGUGGCAGUUCCACGGCCUCAGCGAUAGAAGUGGAUGUCAGCAAAUCGGAGAGCUGUUCCAGCUGUCUUCCUUGCCUUCAAGGUGAAGAUUUGACUUUCUGCCUCCAGGCAAAUUCCACAGGCUCUGUUUCUCAUCCUUAAGAAGCAGAAAUGGGGAGUUCCGCCUGCCAGAACUCCCCAGAUAGCUUUGCUGAUGUCAGGAGGAUCUGAGGAAUCCCAGGGAUGGGGGAGCCUGGUGGGCUUCCGUCUAUGGGGUUGCAUAGAGUCGGACACGACUGAAACGACAUAGCAGCAGCAGCAGCAGCAGCCUCACCAAAGGACCCACAGAGCAUCAG
Long non-coding RNA from Bos taurus (domestic cattle), 2880 nucleotides. Lineage: Eukaryota; Metazoa; Chordata; Mammalia; Artiodactyla; Bovidae. The record is from Ensembl.